Molecule: ribosomal RNA, 516 nt
Filed under: uncultured bacterium
Lineage: Bacteria
Description: bacterial SSU rRNA
Rfam family: Bacterial small subunit ribosomal RNA
Source: RNAcentral
GAUGAACGCUAGCGACAGGCCUAACACAUGCAAGUCGAGGGGCAUCGGGACGUAGCAAUACGUUGCCGGCGACCGGCGGAUGGGUGAGUAACGCGUAUGCAACCUACCCGUAGCAGGGGGAUAGCCCGUUGAAAGACGGAUUAAUACCCCGUAACACAGGGGCUCCGCAUGGAGAUUAUUGUUAAAGGGUCAUUUCUUUUAGAGGUGGUCCGGCUACGGAUGGGCAUGCGUUCCAUUAGGUAGUUGGUGUAGGUAACGGCUCACCAAGCCGACGAUGGAUAGGGGAACUGAGAGGUUGGUCCCCCACACUGGUACUGAGACACGGACCAGACUCCUACGGGAGGCAGCAGUGAGGAAUCUUGGUCAAUGGACGCAAGUCUGAACCAGCCAUGUCGCGUGAAGGAGGACGGCCCUAAGGGUUGUAAACUUCUUUUGCAGUGGAAUAAAGUUUGCCACGAGUUGGCGAUUUGCAAGUACGCUGCGAAUAAGGAUCGGCUAACUCCGUGCCAGCAGCCG